Molecule: long non-coding RNA, 3744 nt
Filed under: Nicotiana benthamiana
Lineage: Eukaryota; Viridiplantae; Streptophyta; Magnoliopsida; Solanales; Solanaceae
Description: long non-coding RNA (NBEN_LNC029991)
Source: RNAcentral
AAAACAGAGACAAAAACAAAUCAGAAACAGUAUAGCAUUAGUGCAUUAGAAAUUCCAGUACAAAUAGCGUUAAAGUUUUGUAAAACAAAGGUUUUAAAAUAGAAGAAAGAAUUUUAGAAAGGAGGAGUCCUAGGUUGGUUAGCCUAUAGGAUCACCCCACACAAUGUCCGCUAAGCUCUCCUUGAUGAGGGGAUACACGUGACGUUAGCGCGUAGUCAUCAUAUCCAUAUGUACCCUUCCCAUCCCUUAGUGGUCAUGCAAGGCGAGUGUUGGUCAACGAUCUCUAUUGCGUGCUGUUACAUAUCCCUUCUUAAUGGUCCUGGAGGGAUUUAAGAACUCUACCAAUAGGUGGUUCUAGAUGGACCCCUAAGGUUUUAAAGGUGAAAAUACUAAGGCGACAAGAUAUAACAAUUAGGACUCUUUUCAAAUAAGAACAAAAGGGAGCAAUUAGAGGUUCAAAGUUUCCUCUUCAAACAAGGGACAUAAACAACACCACUCAAAGUCAAGUAAGGGCCUUUAAACUGUAUCCUAAAGCAAGAUGUCUAUAUGAAUAUGCAGAAGACAAGCAAUCUAUUUUUUAAAGCCUCGGAAGCAAUGACCCUAUCAGUGGCCUACUGAUUUAAAGAUUUCUUAAACUAGGACAAUAUUUAGUCACAGAAACGGUUUUAGAAUUGCAAGUUUUGAAAAAACGCCCUAUAGGUUUUCCUAUAUGCGAAAUACUGAUGACUACUUCUUAUAUGGUGAAACAAAACAGGUUUUGAAAUGGACUCUUUAAUACCUAUAGGCACGCUUUCUAAGGAUAAAUUGAGGCCGUUUUAAAGAACUCGUUUCAAGGAAAUAUAAACCACUCAAUUAAAUCAAUUUAGAAGCGAGAUAAUUAUUAACCAGAUUAAUUUAUUUUUAAAAAACCAACUAGUUUAGAUCUAUUAGAAUAAUCUGAUGUUGUUCCCUAUAGGUAUGAUAUUUAAUAUUCAAUAAUGAUUUUAAAGAUGCAGGCAUAGUGACACAUGAAAACAUACAUAAACACUUGUUAUAACACAAGUCAUAUUUGGAUUAUGUUCUAUUGGCAUGGUAUCUACUUGUGACACUGAUUUAAGACCUAUUUAAUAUGAUUUUUAUUAUGGGAUCAAGUGAAUACUAUAAGCCUGAUCUCUAACAUGGUGAGACAAACCUGAUAAGAUGUAAAAGUCCUAUAGGCAUAUUUUCUACUCGGUAAGACAAUCAUAUCAAAAUGUGAAGUCCUAUAGGCAUGGUUUCUACUAAUAAAGGCAAACACAAAAAAUUUUAAAGUCUUAUAGGCAUGAAUUUUACCCGUAUUAUCCCACAAACAUGUAACUAACUACCCACUUUACUAAUUACACCAAUAUUCGUUUACAAGUUAUUAUAGACCAUAUGAAUGAAUUACAUAAGUAAAUAAGAAAAUAACAAGUUGUUCUAUAGGGAGCCUACAGAUAGGCACAGAUUUCCAAAGUCUCCAAUAGCCUCAAAUGCCUCAAUUCCAUAGACAAAGUCAUAGUGUAGGUGCAUCAAAGUUCCCUAAGGAUCUUAAGGAUCCCGACCAAUUCUUACACCUAGACUUAGUAACCAAACAUUAAAUAAGUGCAACGUGGAAGGGCCAUCCUCGGUAUGCUAGAGUUUAGAGGGUUCUCAGGAGGAUCCCAAGGCAGGGGGGGGGGGCAGAACUUAUUGACUUAGGAGUAUAGUGAAUGUACUUGACACAAGAUGAAAGGUUAUAAUGGGAAAAACUGUAUUAAAGGGAAGUUUGUUUGAAAUAAAUUAGUAAAACAAUAGAGACAAUUUGAAAAGAGAGUGGAGUAGUAAACAACAGUACAAACACAACACCCUUAAAACUGGUUCAUACACAGCCAGGAGUCACAGAACCAAAGCAAGUUCAGCAGUCACAAACAGGGGUCAUGAUUGUAAACAUAUAACAUGAAAAAGUUCUUAGGAAUUGGUACAGACAUGCUCAGACACAAUAUAGUCAUAGAACCAACAAUGCUUACGGGGGUAUAGUAGGAUCCACAUGAUUUAAGAAUUAACACUAGAAUCAUAUAAGUUUUAGUAGUGCAGACUACAUAGAAGGGAUUCAUACUAGAAUCCAGAUAGUGCAAAAUAGACUACAUAAAAGUGAGAACAUGCUCAUACUUAUCCUAAGGAGGGGGUUCAUAAUAUGCUAAUUAUGUAAUCUUAUCAACUGCAAGUUUCACAGCAAAAUCAUAAGUAAAAGCAAACUAGAAACAAAAUGAACUGAAAUAGUAAAAGAACCAUUUUGUUGUUGGAACUUGAAUUGAAAGUAGAACAUACUAGUAAAGAAGAUAAUAAGCAAGAGUGAAGGUGUAGGAGAGCACAAUAGUUAGCCGGCUGCAGAAAAGAGAGAGAGCAGUAAGUUUAAAUGUGUGUGUGAGAGAGCUUUUUUGAACCAAGAGUGUUAUUGUGUUAAUGAAAUAAUGAGUAUAUAUCGCUUGAAAGCAGGUAUUAAAUAAGGUAAUAUCAAAGUUGAUCAGUGAUUAUGGUGACUCAGAAUCAAUUAGCCACGAAAUCAUGUUCAGUAUUCCUUUAAUAAAGGAGUCAACUUCAAACGGUAGUAAACAUGUGGCAAAUAAGGAAGAAAAUCGUAUAAGGCUGAGCAUAAUAAAUGGGAAAAUAAUUUCCGCAUAAUAUAAGUACACAUAUAAUAGAGGCUAGGUUCAGCAUAUUUCAAUCAAGGAAAGAUCUAGGAAACCAAUUAAUAGCAUAAUUGACCAUAGAAUAAGGUCAGAAAAUAUUUUACAAGGUUAAAAAUUAGUAGAGAUAUCAUUCAAAAUCAGUGGAAGGAUCAAUCACAAAAAUUCAAGGAUUCAAAAGUAAAAAAUAGCACUGAUUUAGCAGCUUUAUAAAAACAAGCACAUAGUAAGCAAAAACUAUACUCUAAGAGGUCGAGUAGGACAAAAAUCAUAUACAAAUUAGGGAUACAUGUAGAGCAGAGUCUGAAUUAGUAGAAUAAGCAUGAUACAGACACGAGAAGUAAAGAAUCAGAAACAUUGGUGAAUAAAAUAAGGUAAAAUCAUACGAUAAGCAAGGAUAGCCAUAAUUAGGAACCUUAACAAGCAAUCAUAGGGUAACAUCACAGAAUCACAGAAACAUAUAGAUUAACUGAAUAUGUUAUAAAAACAAAACUCAAAAACCCAAGAUUAGAACCAAGAAUUUAGGGUUUUCAACAUAUGCAAGUUGAAGAGGUAGUAGAACCAUAGAAUCAGUCAAAAUAUACAAGAGAUAGAAGUUUAAACAUAAAGGAUCUGUUUAAGCAAAGUUUCAGAAGAAGUUCCGAAAAACUUAAUUUGAGAAGACGGUGAAAACACUUUGAAAUCGAUGAUUCUUGUAAAGAGUUACAAGGAUAGUGUAAAACAUCAAAGAAACAGACUCAAAUCAUUUAAGAAUCGUACAGAUCUAGGAGAUUUAAGCAAAAAUUAGGAUUUCAGAAGAAACUCAAGUAGAUAUGAAAGAACAUGUCUAAAAUCUCAACGAUCAUAACAAGUACAACAUGAUUUUGCUUGAAAUCAUACUAAAGUAGCCAAGAACAGACUAGAUGGGAUGAAAUUCAGCGUGGCCCAGGGACCUUGAAGGCCUCAAAGAAGGUGAUCAUGGCGAUAGAAGAGCCAUUUGGGGCUUAUGAGUUGAAGGGUGAUCACCAGAGAAGACCAGAGAAUAAGGUCGCUGGUUGAGAUGAGCUAGGGUUAGGUUGAGUGGUUGAGAGAUGAGAGACUA